Non-coding RNA from Saimiri boliviensis boliviensis (Bolivian squirrel monkey), 728 nucleotides. NCBI's taxonomy places the organism in Eukaryota, Metazoa, Chordata, Mammalia, Primates, Cebidae. The record is from RefSeq and is a predicted model, not a curated record.
AGGCGCCGCUCGCCUUCACGGCCUUUUUCCUGAUUUCCCAGGCGAAUUUCCCCCCGCAUUCUGCUGUCCCAGAGCCUCACCCCCUCUUUUUCUAACCUUUGUCUCUGCAGCGGUGGGCUCCAGUCGCCGGCUGCGGGAUUGCGGAGUCGGCGGCAGCCUCGGCUCCCGCCCUGGCCCCACCGCCGCUCCCUCGGUCUGCACCGCUACCACCUCCCGAGCUGGUGGGGAGCCUGGGGGAGGGAAGGCCUGGAAGGGGCCCUAGGCGCCGAGUCCCCCGCCGGCGCCGAUACCGCCUGCCGGGAACAACUGGCCUGCUCGGGGCGACUACAGCCGCGCGCUUCCGACGCGGCUUCUUCUCCAACAUGAGCGGGUCCCUACUGCCGAGAGUGCGCGCCUCGGGGCAGCGCCAAGUGGAUUACAGCCGCCGCCCGGACCGACCGCCGCCUGCAGCAAGGCAGCCUUCGGGUUCGGGACCAUGAGAGAGCGCCGCUACACCUGCCUAAGGGAACGGGCCGUGGCGUUUCGCCCUGAUCUCCUUGGGCCUUCCUGGACCUUCGUGGCCGGUCCCUGCUCGGCACAGGUGCAGCUCUGCCAAGGCGCUCACUUCUGUUAAGAGCUUGCUAGUUAGCAACCUGUCCUAUUAACGACCUGCGGCAUCAAACCAAAGCAAUAAACACCAAGGCAAUGCGAUCCCCUCCGCAGUCCAGCCCUUCUUAGCCCGGUCCAGC